GUCCCAGGCACGUCCGUUACACCAAGAUGGUCACGGCUGCCGCACCUGCGCUUCCUUAAACGAGGACGGUUUAAAAGGGCAGUGGGAAGUUGGAGGAGCCAGGAAUCGAACUCACGACCUCGUGCUUGCCAGGCAGGCGCUGUGCCACUGAGCUAAAUCCCCAGCACCCGCCUAGUUUUAAAGAGUAAAAAAUAAUGCAGCUUUAUUUAGUGUCCUGUUAUUCAAAGGAAGUCGGGAACAGAAUAUACCAAGAUGCGAGAAGAGAAAACUAUCCACUAAAGACGCUUAUCAUAAGAGUACCGUCGCGCCUGGAGUUAGGAUGGGAUUUUGCUCAAGAACAAUGCUCCUGAGGCUCACCUUCAGACAUGAAAGUGUCAAACAGUACUGACGGGACAAGCAGAGCAUCCACAUUUUAAACAGUAAUUUUCUCAAAUUGUAAGCACAUGUGCAUAAUGUACUUUGCUAAGGGUAGUCCUAGAUCACUAGGAAGUGAAUCAGCACAAGAAUUCAAGAUCAUUGUACAGUACUUAUUUCCAUCUUCUAGAAAAUUUUCGCGGGAUGUUGAUGAAGCUUGUGUUAAAAUAAAUGUUUACAAUCGCAAGGUUUAUAAAUAGCACAACAUUGGAAAUCUAAACACUUGAUAUUUAAGGAAUGUUGAUAAACUGAAAUAUUAAAAUAAUCUUAACAUCUCUAA
This is a long non-coding RNA of Chinchilla lanigera (long-tailed chinchilla), 694 nucleotides long. RefSeq lists it as uncharacterized. The record is from RefSeq and is a predicted model, not a curated record. NCBI's taxonomy places the organism in Eukaryota, Metazoa, Chordata, Mammalia, Rodentia, Chinchillidae. The transcript has 2 exons.